RNAcentral lists this small nuclear RNA (97 nucleotides) under Equus asinus (donkey). Lineage: Eukaryota; Metazoa; Chordata; Mammalia; Perissodactyla; Equidae. The record is from RNAcentral.
GUGCUCACUUCAGCAGUACAUAUGCUACAACUGGAAUGAUAGAUUAGCAUGGCCCCUGUGCAAGGUGACAUGCAAAUUUGUGGUGUUCUAUAUUAAA